Molecule: ribosomal RNA, 757 nt
Filed under: Enterobacter hormaechei subsp. xiangfangensis
Lineage: Bacteria; Pseudomonadati; Pseudomonadota; Gammaproteobacteria; Enterobacterales; Enterobacteriaceae
Description: bacterial SSU rRNA
Rfam family: Bacterial small subunit ribosomal RNA
Source: RNAcentral
CGACUGCUAAAUCCUCGUCCAACUGGAUUCGCAUCGAACUGGCAGGCUAGAGUACUGACGAGGAAGGUAGAACUUCAGCUUAAGCGUGAAUGCGUAAGAGAAUGUCGACGACUACAGUGGCGAGGCCGACUCUCCUGGACUAUAACAUGACGUGCAGCUCGAAAGCGUGGGGGAGCAAACAGGAUUAGAUAUCAUGGUAGUGCACGCUGUAAACGAUGUCGACUAGGGAGGUUGUGCCUUUGAUGCGUGGGUUCCGGAGGUAACGCGAUUAAGUCAUUCCGCCUGGGGAGUACGGCCGCAAGGUUAAAACUCAAAAGAAAUGCCGGGGGCCCGCACAAGCGGUGGAACAUGUGGUUUAAUUCGAUGCAACGCGAAGAACCUUACCUAGUUUUGACCUUCAGAGAACUUAGCAGAGAUAUAGGGGUUCCUUUGGGGACUUUGAGACAGGUUGUGCAUGGGUGUUGUCAGCUCGUGUUGUGAAAUGUUGGGUUAAGUUCCGCAACGAGCGCAACCCUUUUCCUUUGUUGCCAAGCAUUAGGCCGGGAACUCAAAGGAGACUGCCAGUGAUAACCGGAGGAAGGUGGGGAUGACGUCAAGUCAUCAUGGCCCUUACGAGUAGGGCUACACACGUGCUACAAUGGCGCAACAAAGAGAAGGACCUCGCGAGAGCAAGCGGUCCUCAUAAAGCAGUUUGUAGUCCGGAUUGGAGUCUGCAACUCGACUGCCAGAAAGUCGGAAUCGUUAGUAAUCGGGGAUC